GACGAACGCUGGCGGCGUGCUUAACACAUGCAAGUCGAACGAAGAGCGACGGAAGCUUGCUUCCAUCAAUCUUAGUGGCGAACGGGUGAGUAACGCGUAAUCAACCUGCCCUUCAGAGGGGGACAACAGUUGGAAACGACUGCUAAUACCGCAUACGAUCUGACCUCGGCAUCGAGGAUAGAUGAAAGGUGGCCUCUAUUUAUAAGCUAUCACUGAAGGAGGGGAUUGCGUCUGAUUAGCUAGUUGGAGGGGUAACGGCCCACCAAGGCGAUGAUCAGUAGCCGGUCUGAGAGGAUGAACGGCCACAUUGGGACUGAGACACGGCCCAGACUCCUACGGGAGGCAGCAGUGGGGAAUCUUCCGCAAUGGACGAAAGUCUGACGGAGCAACGCCGCGUGAGUGAUGACGGCCUUCGGGUUGUAAAGCUCUGUUAAUCGGGACGAAAGGCCUUCUUGCGAAUAGUUAGGAGGAUGACGGUACCGGA
Molecule: ribosomal RNA, 484 nt
Filed under: Veillonella dispar
Lineage: Bacteria; Bacillati; Bacillota; Negativicutes; Veillonellales; Veillonellaceae
Description: bacterial SSU rRNA
Rfam family: Bacterial small subunit ribosomal RNA
Source: RNAcentral